This 252-nucleotide ribosomal RNA is filed under the name uncultured bacterium. RNAcentral describes it as "partial 16S ribosomal RNA". It matches the Rfam family "Bacterial small subunit ribosomal RNA", at positions 524 to 776 of the family's 1533-position model. The record is from RNAcentral.
UACGUAGGGGGCAAGCGUUGUCCGGAAUUAUUGGGCGUAAAGCGCGCGCAGGCGGUUUGGAAAGUCUGGUGUUUAAGGCUGAGGCUCAACCUCAGUUCGCACUGGAAACUGUCAGACUUGAGUACAGAAGAGGAAAGUGGAAUUCCACGUGUAGCGGUGAAAUGCGUAGAGAUGUGGAGGAACACCAGUGGCGAAGGCGACUUUCUGGGCUGUAACUGACGCUGAGGCGCGAAAGCGUGGGGAGCAAACAGG